CCUACGGGUGGCUGCAGUGGGGAAUAUUGCACAAUGGGCGCAAGCCCGAUGCAGCCAUGCCGCGUGUGUGAAGAAGGCCUUCGGGUUGUAAAGCACUUUCAGCGGGGAGGAAGGCGUUAAGGUUAAUAACCUUGGCGAUUGACGUUACCCGCAGAAGAAGCACCGGCUAACUCCGUGCCAGCAGCCGCGGUAAUACGGAGGGUGCAAGCGUUAAUCGGAAUUACUGGGCGUAAAGCGCACGCAGGCGGUCUGUCAAGUCGGACGUGAAAUCCCCGGGCUCAACCUGGGAACUGCAUUCGAAACUGGCAGGCUAGAGUCUUGUAGAGGGGGGUAGAAUUCCAGGUGUAGCGGUGAAAUGCGUAGAGAUCUGGAGGAAUACCGGUGGCGAAGGCGGCCCCCUGGACAAAGACUGACGCUCAGGUGCGAAAGCGUGGGGAGCAAACAGGAUUAGAUACCCUUGUAGUC
This 465-nucleotide ribosomal RNA is filed under the name uncultured Klebsiella sp. RNAcentral describes it as "bacterial SSU rRNA". It matches the Rfam family "Bacterial small subunit ribosomal RNA", at positions 338 to 795 of the family's 1533-position model. Lineage: Bacteria; Pseudomonadati; Pseudomonadota; Gammaproteobacteria; Enterobacterales; Enterobacteriaceae. The record is from RNAcentral.